AUACGGAGGGUCCAAGCGUUAUCCGGAAUCAUUGGGUUUAAAGGGUCCGCAGGCGGUCAAUUAAGUCAGAGGUGAAAGCCCAUCGCUCAACGAUGGAACUGCCUUUGAUACUGGUUGACUUGAGUUAUACGGAAGUAGAUAGAAUAAGUAGUGUAGCGGUGAAACGCAUAGAUAUUACUUAGAAUACCGAUUGCGAAGGCAGUCUACUACGUAUAUACUGACGCUGAGGGACGAAAGCGUGGGGAGCGAACAGGAUUAGAAACCCCAGUAGUCC
Molecule: ribosomal RNA, 274 nt
Filed under: uncultured bacterium
Lineage: Bacteria
Description: partial 16S ribosomal RNA
Rfam family: Bacterial small subunit ribosomal RNA
Source: RNAcentral